UACAGAGGGUGCGAGCGUUAUUCGGAAUUACUGGGCGUAAAGCGUGCGUAGACGGCUAUCUAAGUCGGGUGUGAAAGCCCCGGGCUCAACCUGGGAAUUGCAUUCGAGACUGAAUAGCUAGGGUACGGUAGAGGGAAGCGGAAUUUCCGGUGUAGCGGUGAAAUGCGUAGAUAUCGGAAGGAACAUCAGUGGCGAAAGCGGCUUCCUGGACCAGUACCGACGUUCAGGCACGAAAGCGUGGGGAGCAAACAGG
RNAcentral lists this ribosomal RNA (253 nucleotides) under uncultured bacterium. RNAcentral describes it as "partial 16S ribosomal RNA". It matches the Rfam family "Bacterial small subunit ribosomal RNA", at positions 524 to 776 of the family's 1533-position model. The record is from RNAcentral.